UAUGUGCUUAUGACAUAUUUUAAAUUCCAUUAUCGAUUUAAUCAGAGUUUAUAAAACCUUGAAAAAAUAGGCCCUGGAAAUUUAUACGCCGGGGAAGAAAUCCCCGCCUUCCACCCCUACAUCCGGUCUUGCUUAGGUUCGUGGUUCCUAAACAAUAUUUUUUGAAAACGGGAAAAGUACAUAAGUUUUUAGCAGUAUAGAGCUAUGCCCCCUAACGUUU
Non-coding RNA from Cinara cedri, 220 nucleotides. Lineage: Eukaryota; Metazoa; Arthropoda; Insecta; Hemiptera; Aphididae. The record is from the annotation of a GenBank genome assembly.